GGAGAGAUGUCCGAGCGGACGAAGGAGCCCGACUCGAAAUCGGGUAGGCGGGUCAUACUCGUCUCGAGGGUUCGAAUCCCUCUCUCUCCGCCA
Molecule: transfer RNA, 93 nt
Filed under: Bacillota bacterium
Lineage: Bacteria; Bacillati; Bacillota
Also listed under: 1 other name
Description: tRNA-Ser
Rfam family: tRNA
About the family: Transfer RNA (tRNA) molecules are approximately 80 nucleotides in length. Their secondary structure includes four short double-helical elements and three loops (D, anti-codon, and T loops). Further hydrogen bonds mediate the characteristic L-shaped molecular structure. tRNAs have two regions of fundamental functional importance: the anti-codon, which is responsible for specific mRNA codon recognition, and the 3' end, to which the tRNAs corresponding amino acid is attached (by aminoacyl-tRNA synthetases). tRNAs cope with the degeneracy of the genetic code in two manners: having more than one tRNA (with a specific anti-codon) for a particular amino acid; and 'wobble' base-pairing, i.e. permitting non-standard base-pairing at the 3rd anti-codon position.
Source: RNAcentral